GUGAAGCUGACGUGUGGACAGAGGACAGACACUGACCAAGCUGGAGACACACGGACAUGUUUAUAUUUGUCCGUUUUCUUAAGGCUCAAACUGAAGAAAAACAAACAAAAAAACACACCCGACAAGGAAAGAACUUAAGACGUAAGGAAAGAGGACGAGGAGGUGAGGACGACACCUCCGUGUGUGUGUGUGUCCUUUAUCACUGAGCUAACUUGACUGACAAGUUAGCAUGUUAGCCUGUGUCGUUUCUCACUGACACCGGAGCCUGACCUAAGCUAACAGGCUAACAUUAGCGUCCUGUCGUUACCGCAGUGACCGCGAGGACAUUAGCGGACACGUUAGCAUUAACGGACAUGGCUCACCUCCUCAGUUUGACUGAACUCCACAUAACGGAGCAGCAGCGCAGAGUCACGGCGGUCAUUUAAACGUGGAGCGGAAGAGUCCGCGGGAGAGUCCGAGGGUCAGAGAGGGCGGGCUCCGUGGAGGAAACUUAGCUUAGCUUAGCUUUAGUUUAGUUGCAAAUUGCAGUAGAGCUGGUUACACCGCUGCCCCGCCUACUCCGACGUCUGCUGCUCUGAUUGGCAUCAGUUUUGACAGCAGUUUGUUUAUUUUACAAACCAAUGAAAGCACGCGCUUAAGGACGCAGUCCCGCCUCUGUGCUCUCUGGGCGGAAAUCACUGUGCGGGGCAUCAGGGUGUCCAACUUUUCC
Long non-coding RNA from Solea senegalensis (Senegalese sole), 709 nucleotides. RefSeq lists it as uncharacterized. The record is from RefSeq and is a predicted model, not a curated record. The transcript is spliced from 3 exons. Lineage: Eukaryota; Metazoa; Chordata; Actinopteri; Pleuronectiformes; Soleidae.